GCAGGCUGCAACCCGCCCUGCAUGAAGUCGGAAUUGCUAGUAAUCNCGGAUCAGCAUGCCGCGGUGAAUACGUUCUCGGGCCUUGUACACACCGCCCGUCACACCAUGGGAGUCGGUAACACCCGAAGUCUGUAGCCUGACGCAAGAGGGCGCAGCCGAAGGUGGGAUUGAUGACUGGGGUGAAGUCGUAACAAGGUACC
This 200-nucleotide ribosomal RNA is filed under the name uncultured bacterium. Its description in RNAcentral is "partial 16S ribosomal RNA". It matches the Rfam family "Bacterial small subunit ribosomal RNA", at positions 1300 to 1500 of the family's 1533-position model. The record is from RNAcentral.